AGCGGACCGACGGGAGCUUGCUCCCUUAGGUCAGCGGCGGACGGGUGAGUAACACGUGGGUAACCUGCCUGUAAGACUGGGAUAACUCCGGGAAACCGGGGCUAAUACCGGAUGCUUGAUUGAACCGCAUGGUUCAAUCAUAAAAGGUGGCUUUUAGCUACCACUUACAGAUGGACCCGCGGCGCAUUAGCUAGUUGGUGAGGUAACGGCUCACCAAGGCGACGAUGCGUAGCCGACCUGAGAGGGUGAUCGGCCACACUGGGACUGAGACACGGCCCAGACUCCUACGGGAGGCAGCAGUAGGGAAUCUUCCGCAAUGGACGAAAGUCUGACGGAGCAACGCCGCGUGAGUGAUGAAGGUUUUCGGAUCGUAAAACUCUGUUGUUAGGGAAGAACAAGUACCGUUCGAAUAGGGCGGUACCUUGACGGUACCUAACCAGAAAGCCACGGCUAACUACGUGCCAGCAGCCGCGGUAAUACGUAGGUGGCAAGCGUUGUCCGGAAUUAUUGGGCGUAAAGCGCGCGCAGGCGGUUUCUUAAGUCUGAUGUGAAAGCCCCCGGCUCAACCGGGGAGGGUCAUUGGAAACUGGGGAACUUGAGUGCAGAAGAGGAGAGUGGAAUUCCACGUGUAGCGGUGAAAUGCGUAGAGAUGUGGAGGAACACCAGUGGCGAAGGCGACUCUCUGGUCUGUAACUGACGCUGAGGCGCGAAAGCGUGGGGAGCGAACAGGAUUAGAUACCCUGGUAGUCCACGCCGUAAACGAUGAGUGCUAAGUGUUAGAGGGUUUCCGCCCUUUAGUGCUGCAGCAAACGCAUUAAGCACUCCGCCUGGGGAGUACGGUCGCAAGACUGAAACUCAAAGGAAUUGACGGGGGCCCGCACAAGCGGUGGAGCAUGUGGUUUAAUUCGAAGCAACGCGAAGAACCUUACCAGGUCUUGACAUCCUCUGACAACCCUAGAGAUAGGGCUUCCCCUUCGGGGGCAGAGUGACAGGUGGUGCAUGGUUGUCGUCAGCUCGUGUCGUGAGAUGUUGGGUUAAGUCCCGCAACGAGCGCAACCCUUGAUCUUAGUUGCCAGCAUUCAGUUGGGCACUCUAAGGUGACUGCCGGUGACAAACCGGAGGAAGGUGGGGAUGACGUCAAAUCAUCAUGCCCCUUAUGACCUGGGCUACACACGUGCUACAAUGGGCAGAACAAAGGGCAGCGAAGCCGCGAGGCUAAGCCAAUCCCACAAAUCUGUUCUCAGUUCGGAUCGCAGUCUGCAACUCGACUGCGUGAAGCUGGAAUCGCUAGUAAUCGCGGAUCAGCAUGCCGC
Molecule: ribosomal RNA, 1313 nt
Filed under: Bacillus licheniformis
Lineage: Bacteria; Bacillati; Bacillota; Bacilli; Caryophanales; Bacillaceae
Description: bacterial SSU rRNA
Rfam family: Bacterial small subunit ribosomal RNA
Source: RNAcentral